GAUGAACGCUGGCGGCGUGCCUAAUACAUGCAAGUCGAGCGAACAGACGAGGAGCUUGCUCCUCUGACGUUAGCGGCGGACGGGUGAGUAACACGUGGAUAACCUACCUAUAAGACUGGGAUAACUUCGGGAAACCGGAGCUAAUACCGGAUAAUAUUUUGAACCGCAUGGUUCAAUAGUGAAAGACGGUUUUGCUGUCACUUAUAGAUGGAUCCGCGCCGCAUUAGCUAGUUGGUAAGGUAACGGCUUACCAAGGCGACGAUGCAUAGCCGACCUGAGAGGGUGAUCGGCCACACUGGAACUGAGACACGGUCCAGACUCCUACGGGAGGCAGCAGUAGGGAAUCUUCCGCAAUGGGCGAAAGCCUGACGGAGCAACGCCGCGUGAGUGAUGAAGGUCUUCGGAUCGUAAAACUCUGUUAUUAGGGAAGAACAAAUGUGUAAGUAACUAUGCACGUCUUGACGGUACCUAAUCAGAAAGCCACGGCUAACUACGUG
RNAcentral lists this ribosomal RNA (497 nucleotides) under uncultured bacterium. RNAcentral describes it as "partial 16S ribosomal RNA". It matches the Rfam family "Bacterial small subunit ribosomal RNA", at positions 28 to 507 of the family's 1533-position model. The record is from RNAcentral.